GAUUAUUUAGUUUAUAUAAAACAAGUGUUUUGAAAACACUAAAAAAGAAUAAUAUUCUUAAUAAUCA
This 67-nucleotide transfer RNA is filed under the name Tetraloides nigrifrons. Its description in RNAcentral is "tRNA-Ser". Lineage: Eukaryota; Metazoa; Arthropoda; Malacostraca; Decapoda; Tetraliidae. The record is from RNAcentral.